Molecule: ribosomal RNA, 400 nt
Filed under: uncultured bacterium
Lineage: Bacteria
Description: bacterial SSU rRNA
Rfam family: Bacterial small subunit ribosomal RNA
Source: RNAcentral
GGGGAAUAUUGGACAAUGGGCGCAAGCCUGAUCCAGCCAUGCCGCGUGAGUGACGAAGGUCUUCGGAUUGUAAAGCUCUUUUGCCAGGGACGAUAAUGACGGUACCUGGAGAAUAAGCCCCGGCUAACUUCGUGCCAGCAGCCGCGGUAAUACGAAGGGGGCUAGCGUUGUUCGGAAUUACUGGGCGUAAAGCGCACGUAGGCGGAUUUGUAAGUCAGGGGUGAAAUCCCGGGGCUCAACCUCGGAACUGCCUUUGAUACUGCAAAUCUCGAGUCCGGAAGAGGUGAGUGGAAUUCCUAGUGUAGAGGUGAAAUUCGUAGAUAUUAGGAAGAACACCAGUGGCGAAGGCGGCUCACUGGUCCGGCACUGACGCUGAGGUGCGAAAGCGUGGGGAGCAAAC